Molecule: long non-coding RNA, 1600 nt
Filed under: Manihot esculenta (cassava)
Lineage: Eukaryota; Viridiplantae; Streptophyta; Magnoliopsida; Malpighiales; Euphorbiaceae
Description: long non-coding RNA (MESC_LNC008082)
Source: RNAcentral
UGUAAUACCCGGCUAGACUCCGGUAUCGGAAUUCCUACCGUCCGGUGGAAUUUGGGUGUCGGAAACCUCUAGAAGGGUAAAAGCAUGUUUUUAUAAAAUGUUUUCAUGUAUUUUAAUGUUUUAAGUAUGAUUUUAAAUAAGUUUUUGCAUGAAAAUUCUUUAAGGAAAAACCCAGGUUCGGCCGCCGAAACUCACUUUCGGCCGCCGAACAUGCAUGGACUUUGGGAGGCACGUUAGGCCCCCGAAAGUCUAAGUGAGGGAAGUGCAGGUUCGGCCGCCGAACCUCAUGUUCGGCCGCCGAACAUUGCAUGGAUGCGGAGGCACAUUCGGCCCCCGAACGUGGCCUGGCCAGCCACUAUAAAAGGGUCCCCUUGGUCCGCACGGGCGAGCUUUUUCUCUCCCAUUGUCGGCCAAGGUGAGUCUCCACCAUUCCUCCCUCGAUCUUGAGUGUUUCCUCUAGAUCUUUCAUGGUUUUAACAAGUUUAUAACUUUGUUUUGAAGAUUUGUGAGCUUUGAGCAAGUUUUGAGUGCUUGGAGAUUCAAAGAGCUUAAUCCCUCCAUCUCCAAGUUAGGAUCGCUUUCCUCUCGUUUCUUCAAGAGGUAAGGGUCGAUCUUGAACCCUUUUUAUGUUUUAAACAAGUUUUAAGUAAGAUCUAUGGGUAGAAAUGCAUGUUAGGACAUAUGUUGAGUUUAUGGGGUUUUGAUGAUGUUUGAGCAAUGUAGCUGGAUUGUGUGUGAAUGAAGUGUUGUAGAUGGGGUAUAUGCAUGUUUGAGACCCCUAGGAACUUGUAUGUGUGUUUUGGUUGAGAAAUAUGCAUGAUCUAUGGUUUUGGGAGGCAGGAGGUUCAUUUGAACCAAGUUUCUGCCGUUUGGCAGAAACCAGGUUCGGCAGCCGAAGGGAGUUUCGGCCGCCGAACCCCUCUUGUGAAGGCAGCUUUCGGCUGCCGAAGGUGCCCCCGAAAAGAGACUUUCGUCUCUGUCUGGCACUUUCGGCCGCCGAAGGUGCCGCCGAACCUAGCUGAGUUUCGUCUCUGUCCAGGACUUUCGGCCGCCGAAGGUGCCGCCGAAGGUGCCCUGUUCAGCCGUUUCAUGCAUAUUUUCUGUGAUGUUUUCAUGAUGUUUUAGGGGGUUUUUGGGGGAUGUAUUAGAAUUGUGUUUAUAUAUGUUUGGUCCCUCAUUGGAGUCCACCUGUGUAGGUUCGGACCCGAGGAACCGAGGACCCCAGCAGUGAGAGAGCUGCUUCAGUGUCUGGUCAGAGCUAACCAGAGGUGAGUGGAAACAAGCUUAAUGUUUUAAAUCAAGCAAUUAAAUGUUUUGAGCAUGUUUCAUGCAUCAUGAUGACAUGUAAUAGGCUGAUUGCAUUAGUUCACGAAUAUGUCGCAUUGCAUUUUAUUUUGUGGUUGUGGGUGAAAGCUGUAUGAUCCAAUUAGUCCACGAGACUUUAUGUAUGUUAUGACAGGAAGACCAGGACCCCAUGCUACGGCCUGGCACGAGGCUUUAUAUAUGAUAUGACAGGAAGACCAGGACCCCAUGCUACGGCCUGGCACGAGGCUUUAUAUAUGAUAUGACAGGAAGACCAGGACCCCAUGCUACGGCCNNN